RNAcentral lists this ribosomal RNA (465 nucleotides) under uncultured bacterium. RNAcentral describes it as "bacterial SSU rRNA". It matches the Rfam family "Bacterial small subunit ribosomal RNA", at positions 69 to 507 of the family's 1533-position model. The record is from RNAcentral.
GAAUUAGAAGCUUGCUUUUAUUGAGUCGAGUGGCAAACGGGUGAGUAACGCGUAGACAACCUGCCGCAAAGAUGGGGACAACAGUCCGAAAGGACUGCUAAUACCGAAUGUUGUAUCUCCUCCGCAUGGAAGAGAUAUUAAAGAUGGCCUCUACUUGUAAGCUAUCGCUUUGCGAUGGGUCUGCGUCUGAUUAGCUAGUUGGUGGGGCAACGGCCUACCAAGGCGACGAUCAGUAGCCGGUCUGAGAGGAUGAACGGCCACAUUGGAACUGAGACACGGUCCAGACUCCUACGGGAGGCAGCAGUGGGGAAUCUUCCGCAAUGGGCGAAAGCCUGACGGAGCAACGCCGCGUGAGUGAAGAAGGUCUUCGGAUCGUAAAGCUCUGUUGUCGGGGACGAAUGUUGAGGCCUAGAACAUAGGUUUCAAAUGACGGUACCUGACGAGGAAGCCACGGCUAACUACGUG